This is a non-coding RNA of Homo sapiens (human), 2892 nucleotides long. The record is from RefSeq and is a predicted model, not a curated record. NCBI's taxonomy places the organism in Eukaryota, Metazoa, Chordata, Mammalia, Primates, Hominidae.
CUACUCCCUCCCACACACCCAGGAGCUCCAGCCUGUUAUGGGAUGGGCAUCCUACCAGGAACCAAGGAUGCUAAGCUGAAGACAACCAUCAAGGCAUUUUUUCCCAAAAAGCACAGAAGGAGAUUCAAUCAUCAAAUGAGAGGCCUCACUCACCUCUGCAUAUUGGCCCUUAUCCUUUGAAAGAGAAUAAAGUAACAGCUGCUAUUCUUUCAGCCAAGAAAGGUAAGGGAGGUAUAUUCAUUAAUCACAUCUCCAUGUAGGUCCUUCCCUUAAAGGAGGAUCGAAGUCCCACACAGAGUUACUUGACCACCUCUGUUCCAGGUACCCUAGCUUGUAAAACAAAUGAGACCACCAGGAACAAGGCAGUACACUGUCAUCAGGGCAACAGCAGGACAGAUGUGUGCAAUCUGUUCACACACAAUGGCCUUAAUACUGGUGGCAUCAGGAAAAUGGAGGAAGAACUCUGGAAGACAAAACCCCAAAUGAGCAGGGCAUCACUUUCCCACCCUCACCUAAACUCUGUGACCAUUUCCUUUCCCCAACCUCAAGAAAUAUGAGAGACGAACCUUUUUACACCAGAGACUAAACAGAGAUGUCAGAGUGUCUGGAGCAAGGUUAAAGUACUAAAUCACUUUGUAGAAUGGGGCACUUUGGCAGGAACUGCCCUAAACGUUUGGGAAGGAGGAAGUUUACAUUGAGCCUUAUCACUUUAAAAUAUAUGGGAGAAAAGGGCACUGGGGUGAUGGGGAGACGGGAAGUUACUUUGGUAUGUAGGUAAUUGUGGGAGUGUGUUACGACAGCCAUGCAUUCAUCUAAAUACAUAUUUGAGAAACACAUUCCAGAGCAAGUGGUAAAGAUAAUGAUCUUGACUAGUUUCUUUUUCUUCAUUUGAUCUGGGCUUAGCUAAACUAGCCCAAUUCAAGACAUCAUGACAUCUUUAUUAUGAAAACAACCUGCCUUCAGAAUCAAGACCCCCCUGAAAUCCAAAGAAAUACUGUAUUGUACUAUUGUUAUAAGUACCAUGAUGGCUCUUUCACUUACAAUGACACAUUUGUGUGUGUGUUUUGUACAUUUUGAGUUAACUUUUAUGUGGUCCAAAGACUCACUCGCUAAGUCCUAUCUUUGAUUGAUGGUAAUGGUCAUUUAAUUCCAUGACAAUUGUAUAAUGCAGAUAUUGUUGAUACUAUAUUAUAGGUGAAGAAACAAGAGACCAGAGAAGUUAAAUAACUUGCCCGGCAUUGCACAGCUAAUAAAUGACAGUGGCAGGAUUUGAACCCACAUUUCCAAGAGAGUAUUCUUACUGCUAUACCUCUCUUUUUAUGGACAAGCCAGGAGUCACCCAUGUUUCAUUUGCUUGUUAUCCAUGCUGACUUUCUCUAACUUUCUUGCAUUUGAGUUAAUUGCUAAGAUGAGCCACUUGGCUUGAAGAUAAUUCUGUGGAGGAAUAUAAUUGUGAAAAAUCUCUGUCCCAUUACUCAGUAUUCCCUAAACCUACUUUAAGAUCAAGCUGAUUAACACUGGUCACCAGAAGGACUAGCUAGAGAGCUGAUAAUAUCAGUGCAAAUUCUUCACCAUUCCUAGAAAAACAGCCCAGAGCAUGUUUAAUGGAGGGUGGAGAGCCGUGGAUAUUUGCUGGCUGCUGUGAGCACUUGAGUCUUAUUUUCUUUUCUACAAGUCUACCCAUAAAUAACCACUUAUCAAGCAAGCAAUCAUUUCUCCAAACCUAUUUCUGUUCAACAAUGAGUUAAGCAUCAGAAGGAGACUGAAUAAGAUGCUUUCUAGAAAGUAAAAGAUUAAAACUUUGCUUCAAACACCUGAGUAUUUUAGGCAGUAAUCACAUGGAAGAGAGAGGAAAGGAAGGGAGUUUCUUGAGCAAAUAGGUAAUUAUAAAGACAGUCUUUUGGCAAUUGAUUUGUCACAACAAAUAUGCACCAAAUUCAUGGGAUUUUAGGGGGCAGAGAGGGAAUGUUUUGGAAAUGUGUAUGUGGUACUCUGUAAGUCUAUAUGGUAAAUUAGAUCUCUUAUGGUAUAAUAAUUAAUAUGACUUCUUGGAUAAAUAAAAUAUACAUUCAGUCAAGUAUUAAAGGACAACAUAAAAUGUGCCAAGUUCCCAAGUUUCCAUCAUUGGCAUGGAUUUUAUUCUCCUGUCUGCUGAAAAUCUGUGACUUGGACAUUAACAUGUAUCAGUGUACUCCCCUCAACAAUUCCCAUCUCUGGUUUUGAAACACAAAAUCUAGAGAAGUAGUCUUCUGUUUUGAAUUGUCUUCCCACUUAUCCCCAUGAUGUUUCAUUGUUCUUCCAGGGCCACUGGAACAGGUCCAGAAGGAAAGAAAAGAGUGAUGGCAACUGCUGAUUCAAGAAGAUUGUUCUGUUUCAGUUUUUAUUUUAUUUUAGAUGUACCCCUUCUCCACAAUGAGUUUCUCAUACACGCAUCUAAUGAAAGACGCCUGUUCUCAACCCUCCUAGAAUUUCAAGAUGGGCAAACUUACAAGGAAAGCAAGGAUGAGUGCUAAUAUGUACCAUAUUCAUGUGAAUAUAAGUUUUUUUAAUAAGAAAAUCAAACUCUAAAAAUACAAUAUACUUCAUAAUUACAGAUUGAAAAAUGGGGCCGUGUGUCCUAGGCAGCUGCCCACUGCUGAGUCCAGGGUACACUGCCAUCCUAGGAAGAGAGUGAGGAGGAGGGUGAAAAAACUCACCCAGGAAAGGCAGUGAGGGGUGGGGAGGGAGCACAAAGAAAGUCACUUCAAAUCUCUCUCUAGAACUAUAUUGUUUUUCUGUGCAAAAAUAUUUUCUUCUGGCCCCUUUAUAGACUAGCUUGUAAAAACACUGCAAAGUGCUAUGAUUCUAAGGGUUCUGGAACCGAAGACAAAUCAUUAAAAGUUAGAUUCCAAA